RNAcentral lists this long non-coding RNA (1033 nucleotides) under Struthio camelus australis. RNAcentral describes it as "lncRNA (ENSSCUG00000012682.1)". Lineage: Eukaryota; Metazoa; Chordata; Aves; Struthioniformes; Struthionidae. The record is from RNAcentral.
AUGAAAACCGUGCAUCCAUGUGCCCUUGGUUUCUGAAGCCCAGGAUGGGAUCCAGGCUGAUGACAAAGUUGAGCUCCUGUCCAGUGAAGCACUUAAUUGCCUGCUUAACUUUAAGAUGUGAAUAAUGUCACCCGAGAGUGACCCACUAAAAGGAAGAGGAAAAAAGAAAAGAAGAAACUAAGAAGCUUUACAGUACAAGAGGAUGUCUUCAGUCUUCAAACUGGUUUGUCCAGAUCAACAUAUAUUCACUGUUUGACCAUACAAUUACAGCUGAAGUCUCAAGAUGGAGGGAUGAAACUAUGUGAAGGUGGGAAGAAGACUGAACUACUACUUUUUGUAGAAAUAUCAGCUUUACUGGCUUAAAGGUAUACAAAACUGUAGCCUGAAGCUGUAUCUUCACUGCUAAAAGAUGUGCACUGUUGUAUCAAGACAAAAAAUAGAUCAAUAGCCUACAAUAUAGAAAAGCAUACAAACAUUUUGCCUUUGUAUAACUAACUAGUCAAUGUCAACAAAUUACACUCUGAGUUGAGACUUACCUAAAGUUGCUAAUAUGACCAGAAAGUAGUGUUUCAUUUCCACUACCAUGUUUACUUAGUGGCUUUCUAAAAGGAUGUACACUCAAUAAUUGGUUUAGCUUAAUGAGAUAAUUCAGCUGAUUUUACUUUAUGGAAAAAUAGCUGGAUUUUCCUGUUGAUUCCUGAGGGCUAUAGAAAGCUGUCCUGAAAUUUUCUGGUAAAUACUUUUCAUUACAAUUCUAAUCCUGGGUUUUAGCUUUACUUUUUAAAACAUAUUGACGGAUUUCUGACUUUGCUACUUUCCAGACAAAAUUGUGAAACUAUCAAAGUCUCCUACUACUGUUUAAAUAAGUUUAUUAGUUUUAAAUAUUAAGCCUAAUGUCAGCAAAAACAAAAGAAAAUGAGAAAACGUGAACUAGGAGUGAAAUAUGAAAACAUUGACCUGAGCAGAAUUUGGGGAAGUAAGGAAGAAUGAUUUUCAGUUAAUAGUUUCAAGAUACUACUUUUUGUCAUCAAAU